Molecule: ribosomal RNA, 232 nt
Filed under: uncultured bacterium
Lineage: Bacteria
Description: partial 16S ribosomal RNA
Rfam family: Bacterial small subunit ribosomal RNA
Source: RNAcentral
CGGGGUGAGUAACGCGUGGAUAACCUGCCUCACACUGGGGGAUAACAGUUAGAAAUGACUGCUAAUACCGCAUAAGCGCACAGUACCGCAUGGUACAGUGUGAAAAACUCCGGUGGUGUGAGAUGGAUCCGCGUCUGAUUAGCCAGUUGGCGGGGUAACGGCCCACCAAAGCGACGAUCAGUAGCCGACCUGAGAGGGUGACCGGCCACAUUGGGAUUGAGACACGGCCCAA